This is a small nuclear RNA of Hippocampus comes (tiger tail seahorse), 104 nucleotides long. The record is from Ensembl. Lineage: Eukaryota; Metazoa; Chordata; Actinopteri; Syngnathiformes; Syngnathidae.
CUUUUCUCUCCAUUAAAAAAAAUGGCAAAGGUGGAACAUUACAGAGAAGAUAACCAUGGCCUCACUCAAGUAUGAAAUGUGAAUGUGAUGUGCUUUUUUUUUUC